This 613-nucleotide long non-coding RNA is filed under the name Homo sapiens (human). Its description in RNAcentral is "long intergenic non-protein coding RNA 2257 (LINC02257)". Lineage: Eukaryota; Metazoa; Chordata; Mammalia; Primates; Hominidae. The record is from RNAcentral.
AGAUGCACAUGAAAUUUGGUGCCGUGACUCGGAUUGGGGGACCUCCCUUGGGAGAUCAAUCCCCUGUACUCCUGUUCUUUGCUCCGUGAGAAAGAUCCACCUAUGACCCUCAGGUCCUCAGACCGACUAGCCCAAGGAACAUCUCACCAAUUUUAAAUCAGGUGGAGUCUCGCACUGUCAUCCUGGCUGGAAUGCAGUGGUGCAAGCCGACUCACUGCAACCUCUGCCUCUUGGGUUCAAGUGAUUCUCCUGCUUCAGCCUCCUGAUUUGCUGGGAUUGCAGAGCAAACCAGUGAAAAAAUGGCCUUCGCACUCCUGAGAGACCUUUCACCGGGCUUUCUACUUUUGAAUUCUCUCCAUAGCUGGUUUCCUCUUAGGCCUCGAUAGAGCAGUCCCUGAAUCACACAGGUAUGCUGACUACGUCUUUUCCUGGUACAAACCAUCAUGGGGGAAACACACAGCAAGAAGCAUCUUCAGGUCACAAGAUAGGUAAUACCAUCUACCUGAAUUUUUUCAAAAGCAGCAGAAUAUUUAGUUUUCUAUUUCAGUGGCUUCUAACAGAGAUCAUUGUUUGCACAAGAUUAAAUGUCUGCAGUGGUCGUCUUAAAAAAAAA